CCUACGGGAGGCUGCAGUGAGGAAUAUUGGUCAAUGGGCGUAAGCCUGAACCAGCCAAGUCGCGUGAGGGAUGAAGGCUCUAUGGAUCGUAAACCUCUUUUAUAAGGGAAUAAAGUGUGGGACGUGUCCUAUUUUGUAUGUACCUUAUGAAUAGGGAUUGGCUAACUCCGUGCCAGCAGCCGCGGUAAUACGGAGGAUCCGAGCGUUAUCCGGAUUUAUUGGGUUUAAAGGGUGCGUAGGCGGUCUGUUAAGUCAGCGGUGAAAGUCUGUGGCUCAACCAUAGAAUUGCCGUUGAAACUGGGGGGCUUGAGUAGGUUUGAGGCAGGCGGAAUGCGUGGUGUAGCGGUGAAAUGCUUAGAUAUCACGCAGAACCCCGAUUGCGAAGGCAGCCUGCCAAGCCAUGACUGACGCUGAUGCACGAAAGCGUGGGGAUCAAACAGGAUUAGAUACCCGAGUAGUC
This 460-nucleotide ribosomal RNA is filed under the name uncultured bacterium. RNAcentral describes it as "partial 16S ribosomal RNA". It matches the Rfam family "Bacterial small subunit ribosomal RNA", at positions 338 to 795 of the family's 1533-position model. The record is from RNAcentral.